UUUGAGACUUGAAGAAUCAGUCUCCCAAAGGAGCAUCAGAGCAGAUUUUGAUGCUGGCACCAGCCUUUGACUUCUGCUUGGCUGGCCCCAUCUCUUAGAUCCCUGCUUGACUGACAGCCCAAUUCUGUCGAGCCCUUCUCUAUAACGGUCAUUACAAACAACCCUGAAGUGGCUGGAAUAUAGUCAGCAAGGGGCCCACAUGAACAGCUCAUCUGGAAUCUUUGCAAAACUGUGCCGACUUCUCUGGUGGCUACGGCUGCGGCUACGGCUGCUGGAGCGGGACCUGUGGCGAUGGCGUUUCUCCCGAGAUUUGGAUCGAGUUCUCCUCUUGCGUUCACGUGACAUGGAGCGAGAUCGAUGUCUGCGAUGCUCUCUGGACCUGGAUCUACCAGACAAGAUUUGAUUUUGUUUCUACCUUUGUAAUUACUAUAUUUCUCAUUUAUUAAAGCCUUUUCUUUAAA
Molecule: long non-coding RNA, 461 nt
Filed under: Homo sapiens (human)
Lineage: Eukaryota; Metazoa; Chordata; Mammalia; Primates; Hominidae
Description: non-protein coding lnc-KLRG2-2:4
Source: RNAcentral